This 381-nucleotide ribosomal RNA is filed under the name uncultured eukaryote. RNAcentral's name for it is "partial 18S ribosomal RNA". It matches the Rfam family "Eukaryotic small subunit ribosomal RNA", at positions 592 to 976 of the family's 1831-position model. The record is from RNAcentral.
CAAUAGCGUAUAUUAAAGUUGUUGCGGUAAAAAAGCUCGUAGUUGGAUUUCUACCGAAGAUAGCCGGUCGGGUCUUCGACCUUGUAUCUGGUUUUGUCUCUGGUAUCCUCAUAGGGAACGUUUCUGCGCUUUAUUGCGUGGUGCGGUAUCUAUGACUUUUACUUUGAGGAAAUUAGAGUGUUCACGGCAGGCAAACGCCUUGAAUAUAUUAGCAUGGAAUAAUAACAUAGGAUCUUCGUCCUAUUUUGUUGGUUUCUAGGGCUAAGAUAAUGAUUAAUAGGGAUAAUUGGGGGCAUCUGUAUCAACGCGUCAGAGGUGGAAUUCUUGGAUUGCGUUGCGACAAACUACUGCGAAAGCAUUUGCCAAGGAUGUUUUCAUUGA